This 611-nucleotide ribosomal RNA is filed under the name uncultured bacterium. Its description in RNAcentral is "bacterial SSU rRNA". It matches the Rfam family "Bacterial small subunit ribosomal RNA", at positions 140 to 766 of the family's 1533-position model. The record is from RNAcentral.
GGGAUAACACCUGGAAACAGGUGCUAAUACCGGAUAUGAACUUCCUCGGCAUCGGGGAGGUUGUAAAGCUCCGGCGGUCAAGGAUGGACUCGCGGCCUAUCAGCUUGUUGGUGAGGUAACGGCUCACCAAGGCUUCGACGGGUAGCCGGCCUGAGAGGGCGACCGGCCACAUUGGGACUGAGAUACGGCCCAAACUCCUACGGGAGGCAGCAGUGGGAAUAUUGCACAAUGGGCGAAAGCCUGAUGCAGCAACGCCGCGUGCGGGAUGACGGCCUUCGGGUUGUAAACCGCUUUCAGCAGGGACGAAGCGAAAGUGACGGUACCUGCAGAAGAAGCGCCGGCUAACUACGUGCCAGCAGCCGCGGUGAUACGUAGGGCGCAAGCGUUGUCCGGAAUUAUUGGGCGUAAAGAGCUUGUAGGCGGUUUGUCACGUCGGGAGUGAAAACUCAGGGCUCAACCCUGAGCCUGCUUCCGAUACGGGCAGACUUGAGGAAGGUAGGGGAGAAUGGAAUUCCUGGUGAAGCGGUGGAAUGCGUAGAUAUCAGGAGGAACACCAGUGGCGAAGGCGGUUCUCUGGACCUUUCCUGACGCUGAGAAGCGAAAGCGUGGGG